GAUGAACGCUGGCGGCGUGCCUAAUACAUGCCAGUCGAGCGAACAGACGAGGAGCUUGCUCCUCUGACGUUAGCGGCGGACGGGUGAGUAACACGUGGAUAACCUACCUAUAAGACUGGGAUAACUUCGGGAAACCGGAGCUAAUACCGGAUAAUAUAUUGAACCGCAUGGUUCAAUAGUGAAAGACGGUUUUGCUGUCACUUAUAGCUGGAUCCGCGCCGCAUUAGCUAGUUGGUAAGGUAACGGCUUACCAAGGCAACGAUGCGUAGCCGACCUGAGAGGGUGAUCGGACACCCUGGAAGUGAGACACGGUACAGACUCCUACGGGAGGAAGCAGUAGGGAAUCUUACGCAAUGGGCGAAAGCCUGACGGAGCAACGCCGCGUGAGGGAUGAAGGUCUACGGAUCGGAAAGCUCUGUUAUUAGGGAAGAACAAAUGUGUAAGUAACUAUGCACGUAUUGACGGUACCUAAUCAGAAAGCCACGGCUAACUACGUG
RNAcentral lists this ribosomal RNA (497 nucleotides) under uncultured bacterium. RNAcentral's name for it is "partial 16S ribosomal RNA". It matches the Rfam family "Bacterial small subunit ribosomal RNA", at positions 28 to 507 of the family's 1533-position model. The record is from RNAcentral.